RNAcentral lists this small RNA (1121 nucleotides) under Homo sapiens (human). RNAcentral describes it as "MYCLo-1 long non-coding RNA". The record is from RNAcentral. Lineage: Eukaryota; Metazoa; Chordata; Mammalia; Primates; Hominidae.
AAUUUAUUUCUUUUUUUUGUUUUUGGUUUUUUUUUUUUAAAUGACUGUAGCAGGCAGUAACGUGCGAAAGAAAGACGCUCCAGCGUCUUCCUAGGCCAGUUUCUUGUUGCUGUGCUGCACGGGACCCAGCUCCUUUUGCUGGGCCACGUGUUGCUCCUCCGCUUGGGCGGCCCUGAAUUCUGGGCGCUGGUGAUCGCUGAGUGAAUCGCAGCUGCUUCCCUGUCCUUGAGGGCGUCUUUUGGGCACUCAGGCGACUCUUUAGAAAUGAGUUUUGCUUUAAUAAUUAAUAUUAACGUUAUAAAUCCAAAACCUAGUUAUACUUAAGUAGCGUAUCCCCUGGUAUGUUUUAAAGAGUCAUUCGAAGGGGAUUUUUAAAAAUAAUGUAUAGCUAUAAACUGCAUUUAUACAUUUAAUUGUUAUUUUGUUAAGCGAUUGAGUUACUUGACAAAAUCCAAGUACAUAGUUCACUCACAAAUCUAAUAUGUCAAACCUAAAUGUGGUUGGUAAAUCUUACUCUCAUAAUUUCAAUAUGGUUUACAGAUGUGGUUGAAUUCUGUUACACAUGUCUACUUACGAGUCAGAAUCGUUAUUCCAUUUAAUAUUUUAAAAUGGAAUUGCCAAGUUAAUCCAUACAUUAGCAUGUUAAAUUAUUUUAACCGUCGUGAAUACAUCAAAAUAGACGAUUCCAAAAUGUAAUGGAAAAUACUAAUGCUAAUACUUCAAUUUACUUCAUUAUUUCUGCCCUUAAUCCUGAAUCUUCCUGGAGUUACAGGUGCUUAUCCACUAAACCAGGGGUUUUCAAGCAAGAAGUCAGAAUGCAUUAAUGGACAGCAUUUAAAAAAAUAGGAUUGGGUGGGCUAUAAUCCAGCACUUUAGGAGGCCGAGGCAGGCGGAUCACUUAAGAUCAGGAGUUCGAGACCAGCCUGGCCAACAUGGUGAAACCCCGUCUCUACCAAAAAAUAAAAAAAUUAGCUGGACGUGGUGGAGCAUGUCUGUAAUCCCAGCUACUCGGGAGGCUGAGGAAGGAGAAUCGCUUGAACCCGGGAGGCAGAGGCUGCACUCUAGCCUGGGCAACAGAGCAAGGCUCUGUCAAAAAAAAAAAAAAAAAAAAAAAAAAGAAA